AACUGGGAUUAGAUACCCCACUAUGCCUGACUGUAAACUACCAGCCAAAAAAGUACGAGCCCCGCUUGAAACUUAAAGGACCUGGCGGUACUCUAUAUCAACCUAGAGGGGCCUGUCCUAUAACCGAUAAUCCACGAAAAACCUUGCCAUCUCUUGCCACCCAGCCUAUAUACCGCCGUCUCCAGCACAUUUUCCGAGAAAUGAAGCCAAACAGUCUCACACACUAAUACGUCAGGUCAAGGUGUAGCUUAUGAGAUGGAAGAGGCGGGCCACAAUACCACAACACACGAAAACCCCGUUGAAACACGGGGAAAAAGACGAAUUUAGCAGUAAGUGGAACAGAAUGCCCCACUGAACCACCCGCCCUAGAGUACGCACACACCGCCCGUCACCCU
Molecule: ribosomal RNA, 395 nt
Filed under: Draco rhytisma
Lineage: Eukaryota; Metazoa; Chordata; Lepidosauria; Squamata; Agamidae
Description: partial small subunit ribosomal RNA
Rfam family: Bacterial small subunit ribosomal RNA
Source: RNAcentral